RNAcentral lists this ribosomal RNA (563 nucleotides) under uncultured bacterium. Its description in RNAcentral is "bacterial SSU rRNA". It matches the Rfam family "Bacterial small subunit ribosomal RNA", at positions 338 to 916 of the family's 1533-position model. The record is from RNAcentral.
CCUACGGGAGGCAGCAGUGAGGAAUAUUGCGCAAUGGGCGAAAGCCAGACGCAGCAACGCCGCGUGGGCGAUGAAGGUCUUCGGAUCGUAAAGCCCUUUUCUAGAGGAAGAGGAAGGACAGUACUCUAGGAAUAAGUCUCGGCUAACUACGUGCCAGCAGCCGCGGUAAAACGUAGGAGACUAGCGUUAUCCGGAUUUAUUGGGCGUAAAGCGCGUGUAGGCGGUGCCUUAAGUUGGAUGUGAAAUCUCCUGGCCUAACUGGGAGGGGCCGUUCAAAACUGAGGCACUUGAGGGCAGAAGAGGGAAGUGGAAUUCCCGGUGUAGCGGUGGAAUGCGUAGAUAUCGGGAGGAACACCUGUGGCGAAGGCGGCUUCCUGGGAUGCCCCUGACGCUGAGACGCGAAAGCUAGGGGAGCAAACGGGAUUAGAUACCCCGGUAGUCCUAGCUGUAAACGAUGGAUACUAGGUGUUGGUGGUAUUAACCCCAUCAGUGCCGAAGCUAACGCGUUAAGUAUCCCGCCUGGGGAGUACGACCGCAAGGUUAAAACUCAAAGGAAUUGACGG